GGAGGAUCCGAGCGUUAUCCGGAUUUAUUGGGUUUAAAGGGAGCGUAGGCGGACGCUUAAGUCAGUUGUGAAAGUUUGCGGCUCAACCGUAAAAUUGCAGUUGAUACUGGGUGUCUUGAGUCCAGUAGAGGCAGGCGGAAUUCGUGGUGUAGCGGUGAAAUGCUUAGAUAUCACGAAGAACUCCGAUUGCGAAGGCAGCCUGCUGGACUGUAACUGACGCUGAUGCUCGAAAGUGUGGGUAUCAACCAGGAUUAGAUACCCUGGUAGUCCCCCCAGUAAACGAUGAAUACUCGCUGUUUGCGAUAUCCAGUAAGCGGCCAAGCGAAAGCGUUAAGUAUUCCACCUGGGGAGUACGCCGGCACCGGUG
Molecule: ribosomal RNA, 367 nt
Filed under: uncultured bacterium
Lineage: Bacteria
Description: bacterial SSU rRNA
Rfam family: Bacterial small subunit ribosomal RNA
Source: RNAcentral